AGAGUUUGAUCCUGGCUCAGGACGAACGCUGGCGGCGCGCCUAACACAUGCAAGUCGAACGAGCGAUGGAGAGCUUGCUUUCCAGAGCGAGUGGCGAACGGGUGAGUAACGCGUGAGGAACCUGCCUCAAAGAGGGGGACAACAGUUGGAAACGACUGCUAAUACCGCAUAAGCCCACGGGUCGGCAUCGACCAGAGGGAAAAGGAGCAAUCCGCUUUGAGAUGGCCUCGCGUCCGAUUAGCUAGUUGGUGAGGUAACGGCCCACCAAGGCGACGAUCGGUAGCCGGACUGAGAGGUUGAACGGCCACAUUGGGACUGAGACACGGCCCAGACUCCUACGGGAGGCAGCAGUGGGGAAUAUUGCACAAUGGGGGAAACCCUGAUGCAGCGACGCCGCGUGGAGGAAGAAGGUCUUCGGAUUGUAAACUCCUGUUGUUGGGGAAGAUAAUGACGGUACCCAACAAGGAAGUGACGGCUAACUACGUGCCAGCAGCCGCGGUAAAACGUAGGUCACAAGCGUUGUCCGGAAUUACUGGGUGUAAAGGGAGCGCAGGCGGGAAGACAAGUUGGAAGUGAAAUCCAUGGGCUCAACCCAUGAACUGCUUUCAAAACUGUUUUUCUUGAGUAGUGCAGAGGUAGGCGGAAUUCCCGGUGUAGCGGUGGAAUGCGUAGAUAUCGGGAGGAACACCAGUGGCGAAGGCGGCCUACUGGGCACCAACUGACGCUGAGGCUCGAAAGUGUGGGUAGCAAACAGGAUUAGAUACCCUGGUAGUCCACACCGUAAACGAUGAUUACUAGGUGUUUGGAGGAUUGACCCCUUCAGUGCCGCAGUUACACAAUAAGUAAUCCACCUGGGGAGACGACCGCAAGGUUGAACUCAAAGGAGUUGACGGGGGCCCGACAAGCAGUGGAGUAUGUGGUUAAUUCGACGCACGCGAAGACCUUACCAGUCUUGAAUCCUGUGACAACGUAAAAAUACGUUUUUCUUCGGGACCGGAGACAGGUGGGGCAGGGUUGCGCCACCUCCGGCCGGGAAAGUUGGGUUAAUCCCCCACAAGGCACCCUUUUGGUGUUAUUAUCCAAAGGACUUGGCCAAUGCCUUGAAAAACGGAGGAAGGUGGGGAUGACGUCAAAUCAUCAUGCCCUUUAUGACUUGGGCUACACACGUACUACAAUGGCGUUAAACAAAGAGAAGCAAGACCGCGAGGUGGAGCAAAACUCAGAAACAACGUCCCAGUUCGGACUGCAGGCUGCAACUCGCCUGCACGAAGUCGGAAUUGCUAGUAAUCGUGGAUCAGCAUGCCACGGUGAAUACGUUCCCGGGCCUUGCACACACCGCCCGUC
Molecule: ribosomal RNA, 1344 nt
Filed under: uncultured bacterium
Lineage: Bacteria
Description: bacterial SSU rRNA
Rfam family: Bacterial small subunit ribosomal RNA
Source: RNAcentral